CCUACGGGAGGCAGCAGUGGGGAAUAUUGCACAAUGGGGGAAAGCCUGAUGCAGCAAAGCCGCGUGAAGGAAGACGGUAUUCGGAUUGUAAACUUCUGUUCUUAGUGAAGAAUAAUGUAGGUAGCUACGCAGCAAGCCACGGCUGACUACGUGCCAGCAGCCGCGGUAAGACGCAGGUGGCGAGCGUUGUUCGUAAUUACGGGGUGUAAAGGGAGCGCAGGAGGGAAUCCAAGUUCGGUGUGAAAACUACGGGCUUAAAUUGUAGCCUGCAGUUGAAACUGGUUGUCUUGAGUGAAGGAGAGGUUGGGGGAAUGCGGGGUGGAGCGGUGAAAUGCGUAGAUAUUGGGAAGAACGCCGGUGGCGAAGGCGGCAUACUGGGCCUUAACUGACGCUGAGGCUCGAAAGUGUGGGGAGCAAACAGGAUUAGAUACCCUAGUAGUC
RNAcentral lists this ribosomal RNA (441 nucleotides) under uncultured bacterium. RNAcentral's name for it is "partial 16S ribosomal RNA". It matches the Rfam family "Bacterial small subunit ribosomal RNA", at positions 338 to 795 of the family's 1533-position model. The record is from RNAcentral.